UGGCGAACGGGUGAGUAACACGCGGGUGAUCUGCCCUGCACUCUGGGAUAAGCCUGGGAAACUGGGUCUAAUACCGGAUAGGACCAUGCUUUAGUGUGUGUGGUGGAAAGUUUUUUCGGUGUAGGAUGAGCCCGCGGCCUAUCAGCUUGUUGGUGGGGUAAUGGCCUACCAAGGCGGCGACGGGUAGCCGGACUGAGAGGUUGGUCGGCCACAUUGGGACUGAGAUACGGCCCAG
This 235-nucleotide ribosomal RNA is filed under the name uncultured Actinomycetales bacterium. Its description in RNAcentral is "partial 16S ribosomal RNA". It matches the Rfam family "Bacterial small subunit ribosomal RNA", at positions 96 to 334 of the family's 1533-position model. Lineage: Bacteria; Bacillati; Actinomycetota; Actinomycetes; Actinomycetales. The record is from RNAcentral.